AGCAUUGUGCAGUGGUAGUAUUGUAGCCUCUGAGGUUGAACUGAGGCAGGACCAUUGCUAGUUGAAAACCUUUCAUUUGUAAGCUGGGUUUAGUAAGUUGAGGGCCUCUUUCUCAUGCAGCUUUGGUACCUUAAUGAUAAUAAG
This 144-nucleotide small nuclear RNA is filed under the name Crocodylus porosus (Australian saltwater crocodile). Its description in RNAcentral is "U4 spliceosomal RNA (ENSCPRG00005008114.1)". It matches the Rfam family "U4 spliceosomal RNA". From Rfam's summary of the family: U4 small nuclear RNA (U4 snRNA) is a component of the major U2-dependent spliceosome. The structure of U4 snRNA from yeast and human has been reported. The record is from Rfam by way of RNAcentral. Lineage: Eukaryota; Metazoa; Chordata; Crocodylia; Crocodylidae.